Molecule: long non-coding RNA, 182 nt
Organism: Cervus elaphus (red deer)
Lineage: Eukaryota; Metazoa; Chordata; Mammalia; Artiodactyla; Cervidae
Exons: 3
Source: RefSeq, a predicted model, not a curated record
AGAAGAAUCCAACCUGGGGCCAGUGACAAGGCUUGAUCACUCAGAGCUUUUGUGUAAUAAAGUUUCAUUAAGGUAUAAAAGAGAUAGAUAAAGCUUCUUACAUAGACAUCAGAAUGGGGCAGAAAGAGUGCACCCCUGCUAGUCUUUAGCAGGAAGUUAUAUACCUACUAGUAGGCUGCUAA